This 460-nucleotide ribosomal RNA is filed under the name uncultured bacterium. RNAcentral's name for it is "partial 16S ribosomal RNA". It matches the Rfam family "Bacterial small subunit ribosomal RNA", at positions 338 to 795 of the family's 1533-position model. The record is from RNAcentral.
CCUACGGGUGGCAGCAGUGAGGAAUAUUGGUCAAUGGGCGCGAGCCUGAUCCAGCCAAGUAGCGUGAAGGAUGACUGCCCUACGGGUUGUAAACUUCUUUUAUAAAGGAAUAAAGUGAGGCACGUGUGCCUUUUUGUAUGUACUUUAUGAAUAAGGAUCGGCUAACUCCGUGCCAGCAGCCGCGUUAAUACGGAGGAUCCGAGCGUUAUCCGGAUUUAUUGGGUUUAAAGGGAGCGUAGAUGGGUUGUUAAGUCAGUUGUGAAAGUUUGCGGCUCAACCGGAAAAUGGCAAUUGAUACUGGCAGUCUUGAGUACAGUUGAGGUAGGCGGAAUUCGUGGUGUAGCAGUGAAAUGCUUAGAUAUCACGAAGAACUCCGAUUGCGAAGGCAGCUUACUAAACUGCCACUGACAUUGAUGCCCGAAAGUGAGGGUAUCAAACAGGAUUAGAUACCCCGGUAGUC